This 373-nucleotide ribosomal RNA is filed under the name uncultured organism. RNAcentral describes it as "bacterial SSU rRNA". It matches the Rfam family "Bacterial small subunit ribosomal RNA", at positions 526 to 896 of the family's 1533-position model. The record is from RNAcentral.
CAGAGGGGGCAAGCGUUGUUCGGAAUUACUGGGCGUAAAGGGCGCGUAGGCGGCCCGCUAAGUCGAACGUGAAAUCCCCGAGCUCAACUCGGGAACUGCGUCCGAUACUGGCGGGCUUGAAUCCGGGAGAGGGAUGCGGAAUUCCAGGUGUAGCGGUGAAAUGCGUAGAUAUCUGGAGGAACACCGGUGGCGAAGGCGGCAUCCUGGACCGGCAUUGACGCUGAGGCGCGAAAGCUAGGGGAGCAAACGGGAUUAGAUACCCCGGUAGUCCUAGCCCUAAACGAUGAAUGCUUGGUGUGGCGGGUAUCGAUCCCUGCCGUGCCGAAGCUAACGCAUUAAGCAUUCCGCCUGGGGAGUACGGGUCGCAAGGCUG